GUCUUCUGCUAACCGCUCCUAGUGGUUAGAGCCUCUGACUCGGAUGCGGGAGGUCUUGGGUUCGAUCCCCGAUCGAGACA
Potamilus streckersoni is the source of this 80-nucleotide non-coding RNA. The record is from the annotation of a GenBank genome assembly. NCBI's taxonomy places the organism in Eukaryota, Metazoa, Mollusca, Bivalvia, Unionida, Unionidae.